RNAcentral lists this ribosomal RNA (564 nucleotides) under uncultured Glomeromycotina. Its description in RNAcentral is "SSU rRNA". It matches the Rfam family "Eukaryotic small subunit ribosomal RNA", at positions 548 to 1114 of the family's 1831-position model. Lineage: Eukaryota; Fungi; Glomeromycota. The record is from RNAcentral.
UUGGAGGGCAAGUCUGGUGCCAGCAGCCGCGGUAAUUCCAGCUCCAAUAGCGUAUAUUAAAGUUGCUGCAGUUAAAAAGCUCGUAGUUGAAUUUCGGGACCAUCAUGUCGGUCGUGCCUCGGUACGUACUGGCAUUGUUGGUUUCUCCCUUCUGACGAACCAUGAUGUCAUUUAUUUGGUGUUGUGGGAAAUCAGGACUGUUACUUUGAAAAAAUUAGAGUGUUUAAAGCAGGCUCACGCUUGAAUACAUUAGCAUGGAAUAAUGAAAUAGGACGUUUGAUUCUAUUUUGUUGGUUUCUAGGAUCGACGUAAUGAUUAAUAGGGAUAGUUGGGGGCAUUAGUAUUCAAUUGUCAGAGGUGAAAUUCUUGGAUUUAUUGAAGACUAACUACUGCGAAAGCAUUUGCCAAGGAUGUUUUCAUUAAUCAAGAACGAAAGUUAGGGGAUCGAAGACGAUCAGAUACCGUCGUAGUCUUAACCAUAAACUAUGCCGACUAGGGAUCGGAUGAUGUUAAUUUUUUAAUGACUCAUUCGGCGCCUUACGGGAAACCAAAGUGUUUGGGUUC